CCAUCUCUUCAGUAAAUCUAUUUGCUUGGGUGCUAGCUAAGGCUUCUGCAAUUAAAGCAUCAGGUAUUCAAUUUUUUUUUUUGUAACUAUAUUUAUUUAUUUUUUCUCUACUUUAAUCAAUGAAUGUAUUUAACUCUUAUUAUAUCUGAAAAAUAUAAAAUUAAUUUAAUAAAUAUUAUUAAUAUGUAUAUUUUUUAAAACUAUAUUUUAAGCUUAACAAUUUAAUAUUCAUUAAUUUUAAUAUUAUAACAUUAAAUUUUAAUUCAAUUAAUUAAAGUCUUUAGAUAAAGAAAUAAUUUAUCUAAAAUAAACUUUAUUUUUAUUUUUAUUUUUUCAAUAAAUAAAAUUUAUAUUUAACAUAUAAAAAUUAUAAAUAAUCUUUUUAAAGAAAAGAAUGGAAUAGCUUAAAAAAAUUAAAAGCUAAAGAGUAAAAGAAUAAUUUAUCCAAAUUAUAAUCAAGUGCUUCAAAUAAAACGUAUUAUGUGUCAAAAAAUUAUAAUGUGAGCUUACUAUUUUUUUUCAUUUUUUUAACCUCAUAUUAUUAUGGUAUAUAAGUUGAAGAAGUAAUGUUUAUUUUUUAUAAAAAGGUAUUUAACUAAUUUAGAAUAAAUUAUAUUACUAUUAUUUAAUUUUAAAAAUAUUUAAUAUUAAAAUAAUAAAAAAUCAUUAUAGUUUGACUAUUAAUAUUAUUAUAAUUUUUAAAUAAUAUUAUUAAUAAUUUCUUACAGGUUAUUUUUUAUAUAUACUAUUAAAUUAAUUUACUUUAAUGUCAAUAUUUUUUCUAUUUUAAUUAAUUAAUGCAAUUAACCCUUAUUAUAUUUAAAAAAUAUAAACAUAAUUUGAUAAAUGUUUUUAAUAUGUAUAUUUUAAAAUAUAUAUUUUAAGUUUAACAAUUUAAUAUUCAUUAAUUUUCAUAUGAUAACAUUAGGGUUUGUUUGGACAGUACUGAGUAAUUGUAUGAAAGUGUAAUUAUUUACUCUCUCUUGUAAUUACAAAAAAUUGUAAUUCUCCAUACGAGUUUGGCUGACUGAGUGUAAUUACCUCAUAAUUUUCUAUGUCACAUUUGGUAUUACAAAUUGUAAUUACACAGUUACAUAAUUUAUACUUUUUAAAAAUAUUAAUUAUUAUAAAAAUUUAUCAUUACGAUAAAAAAUUUCUAAACGAAGAAAACUUGAAAUCAAAUCAUAAUAUGUAAUAUGUUAGUCUAAUAAAGUAGUCGGUAAUAUAAUUACUAAUAAAAAUAACAAGAAAAAUAAACACCAUAUGGAAAUUUAUCUAAUUACUUUAGCGUUCUAUAUUUAUUGGGUUAUUCCCUCUUUAACAUUUAACAUAUUCUUUUUAUCAUCAUAUGUUGGUCUUUGAUUGAAUUCUUCAUCAUUUGAAUUUGAAUUUAAAUAUGUAUCAUUAAAAUUAUUAAGAUCUCAUAUUACAUGUACACUUCAAAGUAUGAAUCAUCCUAAUUCCACUUACAAAUGAAGUUAUAAAAUAUGCAACAUACAAGUAUGAUCUACCCUUUUUUUUUAUACUAUAUUGAUGUGAUAUCGUUAAUAUGAGAAAUCUAUUUUUAGAACAACAAAUGUCCUCUUAAUUAUAUUUUGAAGCAUUGAACGUAUCAAAUUAAAGAGUUUGCAAGUCAUCUCUGGUGCUUGUGUUUGGUUCCAUUCUCUCAAAUGGUAUCAUACCCCAUGCAUGGUGCGAGAAAAACUUUUGUACUUGCAUAACUAAUAUCUACUACAUAAUAUUUGGGUUCAUGGUCUGUAACUUUGAUUAUAAAAUUUUAAUAUGACUUAAUUUAGAGCAACACUUAAACUAGAUUGUAACCUUUUAAAUUAGGUUAAAAUAAUAUAAAAUUUUUAUAAAACAAGGUUUUAUAAAAUAUUCAAUAAUUUCUAUAACGCUUUUUAUAAAUAAUAUUACUUUUUGUUGUAACUUUAGAAAAUUAUUUUUUAUAAAUAAGUUAUAACAAAAGUUUGUAACAUUUUUAAUAAAUAAAUAUAUUAUUAUAUUUAUAAUAUAAAAUGAACACGUAAAUAAAUUAUGUUUAUACUUUUUAACCAUAAUUUUUAUAAAUAAGUACAUUAUAACACUUUUAUAAUACGUAAAUUAUUUUUUAUAAUAUACUUUUCGGUUAUAAUAUUAGAAACUUUUUAGGAUUUAAAUAGUACAAUUUUUUUGUUAUAACUUUAUAAAACACAUAUAAAAUUUUUUUUAUAAUAUAUGCUUUUUGAUUUAUAAUAUAAUUUUAAAACUUUUUUACCCAUAGUUAUCCUAAACAUUGAUACAUGUUCAUGCUUGUAAUAUAAUUUUUAUAACUUAAACUUGUAUAAAAAGUAAUUUUUUAAAGCCAAAUCAUAUAUGAGUGUUUGGAAAGCCAUAGGAUAUAAUUGGAUUUGAAUGUAAUUAUCUGCAUAAUUACUCCAAACCUAAGAAUUGAAAAGUGUAAUUAGGAUGCUCCAAGUACACCAAAUUUAAUGGUGCUCACCAAUUACAAUGGUUCCCCAAAGAUGCAACUCUUAUGUAGUUAUAAGCAAUUACACUCAAAUUUAAUUACUAUGUGGCUUUCCAAACACAACUUAAAAGAUAAUCCAAUUAAGUAAAAUCAUAAAUAAAGAGACAAUUUAUUUAAAAUCAACUCUAUAUUUAACAUAUAAAAAAUUAUAAGCUGAUUGAGUAUUAGCUCGAUUGGUAUUGACAUUGUUGCCAGUGCAGGAGGACGUGGAUUUGAGUGUGUUAAAGCGCGUUUAUCCUCCUAUUUAAGGGUUGAGAUGGGUUAUGAGUAGUACUAAGUAUUAUAUCAACUUAAAAACUUUCAAAUACUUUCACAAUUGAAUUAUCAUGUAAAAAAACUGUAUGAAAACAUGACUAUUUUUUAUUUAUUUUAUAAUCUCACAUUGCUAUAGCGUGCAUAUAUAUAUAUAUGAUUAGAUAUAUAUUGUGAUAUUAAUUUAAUACUAGAUUUUAUGAUGAAAAAGUAUAUUAAUAUAAUAUGGCAUAAUGACUUGGGUGAUAAUUUAUUAUGAGCCCAAGAAUAUUGGGUCAUAUAUUUUAGUCGUAGCCCGUUUAGCAUUUGCAAAGUAAUAGCCAAGUAGUCCAUUCCGUACAUGUUCAACUUUAAACAAAACGUCAAAAUCUUACCAAAAAGAAUAAUGAAAUUUAAAGAAACUUAGAUCACUAAGUAGUUUUUGAAUUAUUGGCAUUGCAUGCUUAUCCAUCUUUAUUGGAAGAUUUCUUUUUUAUUCUCUUCAGAUGUCAAUGAAAGUGAAAACCCAAUCCACUAUUAUUAUUAUUAUUAUUAUUAUUAUUAUUAUUAUUAUUAUUAUUAUUAUUAUUAUUAAAAUUGGCAUUAUUCUUUAAAACUUCCUCAUUAAUUAAGUUUUUUUAUUUUAUUUUUUCCAUUCAAUUGCAUAAUAAAAAUGGAUAAAAUCCCAUUGUAAUCAGUUUACCUAAUAUAAACUAGUUUUUGAUCCGGAUGAUGUGUAGGUUUUAACUAUAUGAUAAUAUAUAUUUUAGCAAAUAAAAUAGACAUUUUCUAAUUAAAUCAAUUAUAAAUAUUAAAAAAAUCAAUUUUAACAUAAUUAAAAGUUAUGUAAUUAAAUAAAAAAUUUAAUAAUAUUUUGAAAUUUUAAUACAAUUUGACAUCUCUUCACACCUAUCACAUUCCAAAAACCGAGUUAGAAGAAAUUGGAAUUGUGAAAUUAUGUCAAGGGAAUUAAUUUAGUUUAGUGGAUAAGUGUUGUGUAUGUGGAGAGGUUUUGGGUUUGAAUAUUUUGCCUAAAUUCUAAACCCUAAACCCUUAUCUUUGAACAUCUAAUCUAUAAAUUAUUUUCGCUUAUUUAAUGUUAAGGUUGAGUUGAUUGAUUCAGUGGUUAGGUUUUAGCUUUCUAUUUGGUCCUAUGUUUGAAUCUUUGCGUGAGCAAAAUGGUUUUAAGUUAUUUUUAUUUUUUUUUGUUUUAACAAUAAAAAAGAUAUUCCUAUCUUUGCUCCCAAUAAUAACUAUCCAACCCCCUCUCUUUUCCAUGUUUAUUUUCUUUCUUUUUUUCUUUUCUCUUCUUUCUUUUUCCCUCCAUGUUUCUUCUUUCUUUUCGCUUACUAUUUAGUUGGUUCUUGACUUCUACCAAUCAAUUUUUGUUUCCGUUUGUGUGGGUUAUAUCUCUUGAAUAAUUGUUCUUGCAAAGGGCAAGUAUCGUUUAGUUAUUUUUCUUGAGAUUUUGCUUUUAGUUCGUUUUAAUAAGGUGUUGUUGUUUUGAUAUCGUUUUUGUUAUGAUGAGUGGUAAUUUUGUGGUUUUUGUUAGAAAAAAGGGGUGUAAAUCAAGACCUUCCAGUAGAGUAGGCUCGGUUGUGGAAUGCUUUUUCGAAGAGGUGAGUAAGCAAUUUGUAAUUUAGGAUUUGAAAUUUUGAUUUAAUUGACAUGAAUUGGAGAUGAAUUUUCUUUCGUUUAAUUGGUACAGGUGAUGAACAAUUGUAGGUUUCUGGAAGUUCCUAUUGUGUAUUCGAUCAAAUCAACAAUUAAGUGUGUGAAACUAACCCGAUUCAUUAUUUGAAACUCGAGUAAAAUGUGAAUCAGGGGCUGUUUUCGAAACUGCCCAGGCCCCCACGGCCAUGUGAAAUCAUGCAGGUCGUGUGGGUAGGCUGUGUGGGGCACACGACCGUAUGAAAUCAUGCAGGCCAUAUGGGUAGGCCAUGUGGGGCACAUGGCUGUGUGAAAUCAUGCAGACCAUGUGGGCCUUUAGGGUAUGAGACUCAGAAAUUGGGUCCAUGGGCAUUAUGUAGGCCUAGAAAAGCAUAAGUUUUAGUAAACAAACAUGAGUAUGUUAAAUAGGUUUCGAUAAGUAUAAUAAUGCAUUAUGAUUAGCUAUAAGUAGGUACAGAAGUCAACUAUGGCUAUUUUGUAAACCAUGUGUGUUAUAUGUAUUCUAUUAUCUGUUCUGAUAAGCUAUCCAAUUUGCCUGUGUAAUAUGAUA
RNAcentral lists this long non-coding RNA (4961 nucleotides) under Gossypium raimondii (Peruvian cotton). RNAcentral's name for it is "long non-coding RNA (GRAI_LNC004432)". The record is from RNAcentral. Lineage: Eukaryota; Viridiplantae; Streptophyta; Magnoliopsida; Malvales; Malvaceae.